Molecule: small nuclear RNA, 61 nt
Organism: Colobus angolensis palliatus
Lineage: Eukaryota; Metazoa; Chordata; Mammalia; Primates; Cercopithecidae
Source: Ensembl
GUGCUCACUUCAGCAGCACAGACAUCAAAAUUGGAAAGAUACAGAAAAGAUUAGCAUGGCC